RNAcentral lists this ribosomal RNA (480 nucleotides) under uncultured bacterium. RNAcentral describes it as "bacterial SSU rRNA". It matches the Rfam family "Bacterial small subunit ribosomal RNA", at positions 28 to 506 of the family's 1533-position model. The record is from RNAcentral.
GAUGAACGCUAGCGGCAGGCUUAAUACAUGCAAGUCGAACGGUAACAGGUCUUCGGACGCUGACGAGUGGCGCACGGGUGAGGAACACGUACACAAUCUACCUUAUACUGGAGAAUAGCCCCGGGAAACUGGGAUUGAUACUCCAUAGUCUUUAAUGAUCACAUGAGAAAUAAAGUAAAGCUUCGGCGGUAUAAGAUGAGUGUGCGUCCCAUUAGAUUGUUGGUGAGGUAACGGCUCACCAAGUCGACGAUGGGUAGCUGGCGUGAGAGCGCGACCAGCCACACUGGCACUGAGACACGGGCCAGACUCCUACGGGAGGCAGCAGUAGGGAAUAUUGGUCAAUGGACGAAAGUCUGAACCAGCCAUGCCGCGUGGAGGAUGACUGCCCUCUGGGUUGUAAACUCCUUUUAUAUGGGAAGAAACCUCUGGAUUCACUCCAGAGCUGACGGUAUCAUAUGAAUAAGCACCGGCUAACUCCGU